This 508-nucleotide ribosomal RNA is filed under the name uncultured bacterium. RNAcentral describes it as "partial 16S ribosomal RNA". It matches the Rfam family "Bacterial small subunit ribosomal RNA", at positions 28 to 507 of the family's 1533-position model. The record is from RNAcentral.
GACGAACGCUGGCGGCGUGCCUAAUACAUGCAAGUCGAACGCUUAUUUCCUCACGUGUCCUUGCUCUCAAUUGGAACGAGGAGUGGCGGACGGGUGAGUAAAACGUGGUUAACCUAUCCAUCAGAGUCGGAUAACACUUGGUAAUAGGUGCUAAUAUCGUAUAACAGUUUAUGCCGUAUUGCAUAAGAGUGUUAGGCGCUUUCGGGUAUCGAUGCUGGCUGGAUUCGCGGCGCAUUAACUAGUUGGUAAGGUAACGGCUCACCAAGGCCACGACGCAUAGCCGACCUGAGAGGGUGAUCGGCCACACUGGAACUGAGACACGGCCCAGACUCCUACGGGAGGCAGCAGUAGGGAAUCUUCGGCAAUGGGCGAAAGCCUGACGGAGCAACGCCGCGUGAGUGAAGAAGGUCUUCGGAUCGUAAAACUCUGUUGUUAGGGAAGAACAAGUGCGUAAGUAACUAAACGCGCCCUGACGGUACCUAACCAGAAAGCCACGGCUAACUACGUG